GGUGGCUCAGUGGUAGAGUGCUUGCCUCCCAUGUAUGAGGCCCUAGGUUCAAUUCCUCAGCACCA
This 65-nucleotide transfer RNA is filed under the name Dipodomys ordii (Ord's kangaroo rat). It matches the Rfam family "tRNA". From Rfam's summary of the family: Transfer RNA (tRNA) molecules are approximately 80 nucleotides in length. Lineage: Eukaryota; Metazoa; Chordata; Mammalia; Rodentia; Heteromyidae. The record is from Rfam by way of RNAcentral.